This 506-nucleotide small RNA is filed under the name Pongo abelii (Sumatran orangutan). Its description in RNAcentral is "retained intron". The record is from RNAcentral. Lineage: Eukaryota; Metazoa; Chordata; Mammalia; Primates; Hominidae.
ACAAUCAACGUAGGCCUCACCUCAAUCGCAAACUUACCAAAGUUAAACAAACUUAAGAAGCUUGAACUAAGCGAUAACAGAGUCUCAGGGGGCCUGGAAGUAUUGGCAGAAAAGUGUCCGAACCUCACGCAUCUAAAUUUAAGUGGCAACAAAAUUAAAGACCUCAGCACAAUAGAGCCACUGAAAAAGUUAGAAAACCUCAAGAGCUUAGACCUUUUCAAUUGCGAGGUAACCAACCUGAAUGACUACCGAGAAAAUGUGUUCAAGCUCCUCCCGCAACUCACAUAUCUCGACGGCUAUGACCGGGACGACAAGGAGGCCCCUGACUCGGAUGCUGAGGGCUAUGUGGAGGGCCUGGAUGAUGAGGAGGAGGAUGAGGACGGUGGGUGACGGGGUGGCCCAGGGCUGCAGGGGCCCAUCUGAGGCCUUGGGGCUCCUCCUUGGCUUUGCAGAGGUGGGUGGGCUGGGUGUUGGGAGGCCCCCACCCAGCUACUGAAGGCUGGCCG